AUACGAAGGUCCCGAGCGUUAUUCGGAAUCACUGGGCGUAAAGGGAGCGUAGGCUGUAGGGUAAGUCAGAUGUGAAAUCUCAGAGCUCAACUCUGAAACUGCAUCCGAUACUGCCGUACUAGAGUAAUGGAGGGGUAACUGGAAUUCUCGGUGUAGCAGUGAAAUGCGUAGAUAUCGAGAGGAAGACCAACGGCGAAGGCAGGUUACUGGACAUUUACUGACGUUGAGGCUCGAAGGCUAGGGUAGCGAAAGGGAUUAGAAACCCGAGUAGUCC
RNAcentral lists this ribosomal RNA (274 nucleotides) under uncultured bacterium. RNAcentral describes it as "partial 16S ribosomal RNA". It matches the Rfam family "Bacterial small subunit ribosomal RNA", at positions 523 to 796 of the family's 1533-position model. The record is from RNAcentral.